RNAcentral lists this ribosomal RNA (440 nucleotides) under uncultured bacterium. RNAcentral's name for it is "bacterial SSU rRNA". It matches the Rfam family "Bacterial small subunit ribosomal RNA", at positions 355 to 786 of the family's 1533-position model. The record is from RNAcentral.
UGGGGAAUAUUGCGCAAUGGGCGAAAGCCUGACGCAGCGACGCCGCGUGAGGGAUGAAGGUCUUCGGAUCGUAAACCUCUGUCAGCAGGGAAGAAAGUUAUGCGUGCUAAUCAGCGCGUAAUUGACGGUACCUGCAAAGGAAGCACCGGCUAACUCCGUGCCAGCAGCCGCGGUAAUACGUAUGGUGCAAGCGUUAUCCGGAUUUACUGGGUGUAAAGGGAGCGCAGGCGGUACGGCAAGUCUGAUGUGAAAGCCCGGGGCUCAACCCCGGUACUGCAUUGGAAACUGUCGGACUAGAGUGUCGGAGGGGUAAGCGGAAUUCCUAGUGUAGCGGUGAAAUGCGUAGAUAUUAGGAGGAACACCAGUGGCGAAGGCGGCUUACUGGACGAUUACUGACGCUGAGGCUCGAAAGCGUGGGGGAGCAAACAGGAUUAGAUACC